GAGACUGCCUGGGUUAACCAGGAGGAAGGCGAGGAUGACGUCAAGUCAGCAUGGCCCUUAUGCCCAGGGCUACACACGUGCUACAAUGGCCAGUACAGAAGGUAGCAAUAUCGUGAGAUGGAGCAAAUCCUCAAAGCUGGCCCCAGUUCGGAUUGUAGUCUGCAACUCGACUACAUGAAGUCGGAAUUGCUAGUAAUGGCGUGUCAGCUAUAACGCCGUGAAUACGUUCCCGGGCCUUGUACACACCGCCCGUCACAUCAUGGGAGUUGGUUUUGCCUUAAGUCGUUGACUCAACCUGCAAAGGAGAGAGGCGCCCAAGGUGAGGCUGAUGACUGGGAUGAAGUCGUAACAAGGUAGCCCUACCGGAAGGUGGGGCUGGAUCACC
RNAcentral lists this ribosomal RNA (385 nucleotides) under Chlamydia psittaci 03DC29. RNAcentral's name for it is "bacterial SSU rRNA". It matches the Rfam family "Bacterial small subunit ribosomal RNA", at positions 1145 to 1527 of the family's 1533-position model. Lineage: Bacteria; Pseudomonadati; Chlamydiota; Chlamydiia; Chlamydiales; Chlamydiaceae. The record is from RNAcentral.